Molecule: ribosomal RNA, 567 nt
Filed under: uncultured bacterium
Lineage: Bacteria
Description: partial 16S ribosomal RNA
Rfam family: Bacterial small subunit ribosomal RNA
Source: RNAcentral
UGGGGAAUUUUGGACAAUGGGCGCAAGCCUGAUCCAGCCAUGCCGCGUGCGGGAAGAAGGCCUUCGGGUUGUAAACCGCUUUUGUCAGGGAAGAAAUCUUCUGAGUUAAUACCUCGGGAGGAUGACGGUACCUGAAGAAUAAGCACCGGCUAACUACGUGCCAGCAGCCGCGGUAAUACGUAGGGUGCAAGCGUUAAUCGGAAUUACUGGGCGUAAAGCGUGCGCAGGCGGUUUUGUAAGACAGAGGUGAAAUCCCCGGGCUCAACCUGGGAACUGCCUUUGUGACUGCAAGGCUUGAGUGCGGCAGAGGGGGAUGGAAUUCCGCGUGUAGCAGUGAAAUGCGUAGAUAUGCGGAGGAACACCGAUGGCGAAGGCAAUCCCCUGGGCCUGCACUGACGCUCAUGCACGAAAGCGUGGGGAGCAAACAGGAUUAGAUAGCCCUGGUAGUCCACGCCCUAAACGAUGUCAACUGGUUGUUGGGAAGGUUCCUUCUCAGUAACGUAGCUAACGCGUGAAGUUGACCGCCUGGGGAGUACGGCCGCAAGGUUGAAACUUAAAUGAAUUGAC